This 289-nucleotide ribosomal RNA is filed under the name uncultured bacterium. RNAcentral describes it as "partial 16S ribosomal RNA". It matches the Rfam family "Bacterial small subunit ribosomal RNA", at positions 28 to 313 of the family's 1533-position model. The record is from RNAcentral.
GAUGAACGCUAGCGGCAGGCUUAAUACAUGCAAGUCGAGGGGUAACAUGGUAGCAAUACUGAUGACGAACCGGCAAACGGGUGCGGAACACGUACAGAACCUUCCUUUAAGCGGGGGGAUAGCCCAUAGAAAUGUGGAUUAAUACCCCAUAGUAAUAUUAGUUGGCAUCAAUUGAUAUUUAAAGAUUUAUCACUUAAAGAUGGCUGUGCGGCUGAUUAGGUAGUUGGUGCGGGUAACGGCCCACCAAGCCAGCGAUCAGUAACUGGUGUGGGAGCACGACCAGUCACAC